GGAAUAUUGGACAAUGGGGGAAACCCUGAUCCAGCCAUGCCGCGUGUGUGAAGAAGGCCUUUUGGUUGUAAAGCACUUUAAGCAGUGAAGAAGACUCUUCGGUUAAUACCCGGAGACGAUGACAUUAGCUGCAGAAUAAGCACCGGCUAACUCUGUGCCAGCAGCCGCGGUAAUACAGAGGGUGCAAGCGUUAAUCGGAAUUACUGGGCGUAAAGCGAGCGUAGGUGGCUUGAUAAGUCAGAUGUGAAAUCCCCGGGCUUAACCUGGGAACUGCAUCUGAUACUGUCAGGCUAGAGUAGGUGAGAGGAAGGUAGAAUUCCAGGUGUAGCGGUGAAAUGCGUAGAGAUCUGGAGGAAUACCGAUGGCGAAGGCAGCCUUCUGGCAUCAUACUGACACUGAGGCUCGAAAGCGUGGGUAGCAAACAGGAUUAGAUACCCGAG
Molecule: ribosomal RNA, 440 nt
Filed under: uncultured Psychrobacter sp.
Lineage: Bacteria; Pseudomonadati; Pseudomonadota; Gammaproteobacteria; Moraxellales; Moraxellaceae
Description: bacterial SSU rRNA
Rfam family: Bacterial small subunit ribosomal RNA
Source: RNAcentral